CAACCUGCCUGUAAGACUGGGAUAACUUCGGGAAACCGAAGCUAAUACCGGAUAGGAUCUUCUCCUUCAUGGGAGAUGAUUGAAAGAUGGUUUCGGCUAUCACUUACAGAUGGGCCCGCGGUGCAUUAGCUAGUUGGUGAGGUAACGGCUCACCAAGGCAACGAUGCAUAGCCGACCUGAGAGGGUGAUCGGCCACACUGGGACUGAGACACGGCCCAGACUCCUACGGGAGGCAGCAGUAGGGAAUCUUCCGCAAUGGACGAAAGUCUGACGGAGCAACGCCGCGUGAGUGAUGAAGGCUUUCGGGUCGUAAAACUCUGUUGUUAGGGAAGAACAAGUACAAGAGUAACUGCUUGUACCUUGACGGUACCUAACCAGAAAGCCACGGCUAACUACGUGCCAGCAGCCGCGGUAAUACGUAGGUGGCAAGCGUUAUCCGGAAUUAUUGGGCGUAAAGCGCGCGCAGGCGGUUUCUUAAGUCUGAUGUGAAAGCCCACGGCUCAACCGUGGAGGGUCAUUGGAAACUGGGGAACUUGAGUGCAGAAGAGAAAAGCGGAAUUCCACGUGUAGCGGUGAAAUGCGUAGAGAUGUGGAGGAACACCAGUGGCGAAGGCGGC
RNAcentral lists this ribosomal RNA (617 nucleotides) under Priestia megaterium. Its description in RNAcentral is "bacterial SSU rRNA". It matches the Rfam family "Bacterial small subunit ribosomal RNA", at positions 122 to 725 of the family's 1533-position model. Lineage: Bacteria; Bacillati; Bacillota; Bacilli; Caryophanales; Bacillaceae. The record is from RNAcentral.